Long non-coding RNA from Cryptotermes secundus, 294 nucleotides. RefSeq lists it as uncharacterized. The transcript has 2 exons. NCBI's taxonomy places the organism in Eukaryota, Metazoa, Arthropoda, Insecta, Blattodea, Kalotermitidae. The record is from RefSeq and is a predicted model, not a curated record.
AACCAAUGGAACGAACUCCAUCAACUGAGGACAUAAUUACAGUGUGUCAUCAAGAAAAUUAGAGUAAAGGGCAUACUUGUGAUAUCAGUGUACAUCAGACAGCCCUUGAGAUGAAAUUCCAGCAUGCAGACAGUGUUUGAGAUACAGUAGUGGGUCAGGUGUCUUUUUUAAAUAGGCCGUAAUGUAAACUGUCACAUUGUCGCAUCAUGUUAUUGCAGUUUUCAAGGUCAAUGAACUGUACUUUGAACUUAAAUUCUAAAAAAAAUAAUAAGUAUUAAAAAGUGUCUUUAAGUU